GACAACAUGGCCAAGCUCGUCGACUCGCCCGUGACCGUCCGCCCGUUCAUCCCCAAGCUUCUCCCCGGCCUCAUCAAGAUCGAGUCCGUCAUCGGUGACCCCGAGGCUCGCAGCGUCGUCGCUCGCGCCAUUGCCACCCUCCGCCAGGUCGGUGAGGUCCCCACUGGCGACGGCUCCGACCUCCCGCCUCUCAAGCAGGCGGAUGAGAAGGCCCUCGCUUCAUCCCUUGUCGGUCUUUACAAGAAGGCUGGCGCCAGCCCUGUCCCCUCUGCUACCGACAUCGCUGCCGGCUAUGUUUCGCAGCUCGCCGCGAACCUCGUCAACCAGAAGAACUUCGACGUCUCGGAGUGGCAGACGCUCAUCCCCUUCCUCGCGUUCCUUGCUUCCUCCCCCGACGCCAACACCAUUGCCAACGAGUGGGCUGUCAAGUCGGCGUCCGCCGAUGACGACGAGGCCGAGGAGGCUGAGGAUGAGGAGGAGGGCGAGGACCUGUGCAACUGCCAGUUCUCGCUCGCCUACGGUGCGAAGAUCCUGCUCAACACUGCUUCGCUUCGCCUCAAGCGUGGCCACCGCUACGGUCUCUGCGGUCGCAACGGUACCGGAAAGUCCACCCUCAUGCGUGCGAUCACCAACGGGUAUGUCAGCUUUGUGUAUUCCGCUUACGAGUACGAUGCUUACUGGUAUUCGCGCACAGCCAAGUCGAGGGCUUCCCCUCCCCUGACGAGGUCCGCACGUUCUACGUCGAGCACGACAUUGACGGUAGCGAGGCCGACACCACUAUCCUCGAGUUCAUCCUCGCCGAUAAGCGUAUCCAGGCGACUCGUGAGGAGAUCAUCGAGACGCUCGCGUCCGUCGGCUUCGACGAUGCCCGCCAGAAGUCUGCGAUUGGCUCCCUCUCCGGUGGUUGGAAGAUGAAGCUCGCGCUCGCCCGCGCCAUGCUCUUCCGCGCGGACAUCCUCCUGCUCGAUGAGCCGACUAACCACUUGGACGUCGUCAACAUCGCGUGGCUCGAGAACUACCUGACCAGCCUCACCACCUGCACGUCCAUCAUCGUCUCGCACGACUCCGGCUUCUUGAACAACGUCAUCACCGACGUCCUCCACCUCAACCGCUUCAAGCUCAAGCGCUACCGCGGCAACCUCGAGUCGUUCAUGAAGGCCGUCCCUGAGGCCCGCUCGUACUACACGCUCGAGGCUCAGGAGGACUACCAGUUCAAGCUCCCUGACCCCCCUCUCCUUGAGGGUGUCAAGACCAAGGAGAAGUCGCUGCUCAAGAUGCGCAGGGUCGGCUUCCAGUACCCCACGCAGGUUGUCCAGCAACUCCACGAUAUCACCCUCCAAGUCUCGCUCUCCUCCCGUGUCGCCGUCCUCGGUCCCAACGGUUCCGGCAAGUCCACGCUCGUCAAGCUCCUUAUUGGCGACAUGGAGCCGAACAAGGGCGGUGAGACGUGGAAGCACCCCAACUUGGUCAUCGGUUACGUCGCGCAGCACGCCUUCCACCACAUUGACAACCACCUCGACAAGACCCCGCUCGACUACAUGCUCUGGCGUUACCAGACGGGUGAGGAUCUUGAGGAGAUGAUGAAGGCGUCGCGCCAGAUCACCGAGGAAGAGGAGAAGAAGAUGAAGGACGGCUCGAUCGUCGUCGUCGAGGGUCAGAAGCGCAUCAUCGAGGAGAUCGUCGCCCGCAAGAAGCUCAAGCAGUCGUACGAGUACGAGGUGUCGUUCAAGAACCUCUCGUCCUCGGAGAACAUCUGGCUGCCGCGUGACGACCUCAUCAAGCGCGGUUUCGAGAAGAAGGUCCUCGAGGUCGACACCCGUGAGGCUCAGCGCCUUGGUCUCCUCCGCCCGCUCGUUCGUCGCGAGAUCGAGAAGCACUUCGCCGACUUCGGUCUCGAGCCCGAGUUCGUCUCCCACAACUCGAUGCGUGGUCUCUCCGGUGGUCAGAAGGUCAAGGUCGUGCUCGGUGCCGCGACGUGGCGCCGGCCGCACAUCAUCUGCCUGGACGAGCCGACGAACUACCUCGACCGUGAGUCGCUCGCGGCGCUGAUCAAGGCGCUCAAGGAGUUCGAGGGUGGUGUGCUCGUCAUCACGCACAACCGGGACUUUUCGGAGUCACUGUGCACGGAAGUGUGGGCGAUGCGCGACGGCCGUCUGGAGGCGUCGGGCCACAACUGGGUCGAGGGCCAGGGUUCGGGCCCGCGGAUCGACAAGAAGGACGGAGAGGACGAGGACCAGUACGACGCGAUGGGGAACAAGAUCGACACGAAGAAGGCGAAGAAGCUGACGUCGUCGGAGGCGCGGAAGCUCAAGAAGGAGCGCAUGGCGAGGAAGAAGCGCGGCGAGGAUGUUACGGACG
Molecule: long non-coding RNA, 2358 nt
Filed under: Ganoderma lucidum
Lineage: Eukaryota; Fungi; Basidiomycota; Agaricomycetes; Polyporales; Polyporaceae
Description: long non-coding RNA (GLUC_LNC000021)
Source: RNAcentral